CACGCCGUAAACGAUGAUAACUAGCUGUCUGGGUGCAUGGCACUUAGGUGGCGCAGCUAACGCAUUAAGUUAUCCGCCUGGGGAGUACGGUCGCAAGAUUAAAACUCAAAGGAAUUGACGGGGGCCUGCACAAGCGGUGGAGCAUGUGGUUUAAUUCGAAGCAACGCGCAGAACCUUACCAGCGUUUGACAUCCUCAUCGCGGAUUCCAGAGAUGGAUUCCUUCAGUUCGGCUGGAUGAGUGACAGGUGC
This 250-nucleotide ribosomal RNA is filed under the name uncultured Sphingomonadaceae bacterium. RNAcentral describes it as "partial 16S ribosomal RNA". It matches the Rfam family "Bacterial small subunit ribosomal RNA", at positions 796 to 1041 of the family's 1533-position model. Lineage: Bacteria; Pseudomonadati; Pseudomonadota; Alphaproteobacteria; Sphingomonadales; Sphingomonadaceae. The record is from RNAcentral.